UCAUUCUUUGUGUCUCUAAUGAAUAAAUAAAAUCUUAAAAAAAAAAGAAAAGAAAGAUUAGCAUGGCCCCUGCUCAAAGAUGACACACAAAUACAUGAAGUGUUCCAUAUUUUU
This 114-nucleotide small nuclear RNA is filed under the name Canis lupus familiaris (dog). The record is from RNAcentral. Lineage: Eukaryota; Metazoa; Chordata; Mammalia; Carnivora; Canidae.